ACUCAAAGGAAUAGACGGGGGUCCGCACAAGCGGUGGAACAUGUGGUUUAAUUCGACACUACGCGAGGAACCUUACCUGGGUUUGACAUGUAUAUGACAGUUUCAGAGAUGAAAUCUUCUAAGUUUUUAAUUUAGACAUAUACACAGGUGCUGCAUGGCUGUCGUCAGCUCGUGUCGUGAGAUGUUGGGUUAAGUCCUUUAACGAGCGCAACCCUUGCUGUCAGUUGCAACUGCCUUUUUAGGUAAAGCACUCUGGCGGGACUGCCUGGGAAACCAGGAGGAAGGUGGGGACGACGUCAAGUCAUCAUGGUCCUUAUAUCCAGGGCUACACACGUGUUACAAUGGCUAAGUACAAAGGGAUGCCACAUUGUAAAAUGGAGCAAAUCUCUAAAAUUAGUCUAAGUUCAGAUUGAGGUCUGCAACUCGACCUCAUGAAGUUGAAAUCGCUAGUAAUCGCAUAUCAGAACGAUGCGGUGAAUACGUUCUCGGGCCUUGUACACACCGCCCGU
RNAcentral lists this ribosomal RNA (509 nucleotides) under uncultured bacterium. Its description in RNAcentral is "partial 16S ribosomal RNA". It matches the Rfam family "Bacterial small subunit ribosomal RNA", at positions 899 to 1397 of the family's 1533-position model. The record is from RNAcentral.